This 668-nucleotide long non-coding RNA is filed under the name Homo sapiens (human). RNAcentral's name for it is "non-protein coding lnc-LRRC23-1:5". Lineage: Eukaryota; Metazoa; Chordata; Mammalia; Primates; Hominidae. The record is from RNAcentral.
CCGGGGUUCAAGCAGUUAGGAAAGGAGCAUCUCCAAAAGAGGUUCACACCUGGGCUGAAUCUUUUCAUGUCCUAGAAGAGGUUCACACCUUCACACUGGGCUGAAUCUUUCUCUUUUUUUUUUUGAGACGGAGUCUAAGCUCUGAUGCCUAGGCUGGAGUGCAGUGGCGUGAUCUCAGCUCACCUCUGCCUCCUGGGGUCAAGUGAUUCUCCUGCCUCAGCCUCCCAAGUAGCUGGGACUACAAGCGUGCACCACCAUGCCUGGCUAAUUUUUGUAUUUUUAGUAGAGACAGGGUUUCACUAUGUUGCCCAGGCUGGCCUCGAACUCCUGACCUCGUGAUCUGCCCGCCUCGGCCUCCCAAAGUGCUGGGGUUACCGGCAUGAGCCACCGCGCCCAGCCUGGGCUGAAUCUAAAAGGAUGACCAGGAAUUGGCCUGAGACGAGCCACUUCUCUGCAGUAUGGAGGUUGGGUUACGGUUGCUGCAUGUAGAAGAUAUUCCAGACAGAAGAGUCCGCAUGAAAAAAAGCAAGAAGCAGCAGUCACAGCUACUUGGAAGGCUGAGAUGUGAAGACUACUUGAGCUCAGAAGUUCCACUGCACUCCAGCCUGGGUUACAGAGGGAAACCUUGUCUCUAAAAAAAAGAAAAAAGAAAGAAAGAAAAAGAAAAC